GUGCUCGCUUCGGCAGCACAUAUACUAAAAUUGGAACGAUACAGAGAAGAUUAGCAUGGCCCCUGUGCAAAAUAAGAAGGCCAAGUGUGGUAGCACACACCUAU
This 104-nucleotide small nuclear RNA is filed under the name Carlito syrichta (Philippine tarsier). The record is from RNAcentral. Lineage: Eukaryota; Metazoa; Chordata; Mammalia; Primates; Tarsiidae.